UCAGGCUCAGUCAGACCAGGGGAGGAAGAGAAUUUGGGAGAUAAGAGGUCUCCGCUGAACAUGCCUACCCUGAGACAUUCUACUUCAAGGUUAAAACAGGCCCCUUGAAGGAUUUCACUCAAUCAGCUGUCUGGCGGCACAGAUUCCUGAGCUUUACCGUUACCAGAAUGUACCCAACUCCCAUGCACUUAAACAUCACGAAGGCCAAGUUUUGGAACAUCAUGAGAGGGCCAAACGAGAAUCAAGAAAAAAUUCCCUUCCAGGAAGCUUUGAAGUGAUGCUGGCUUACUUUUUUCAGCACAAAUAUGUCCUUUAGAAUAGUUUUUCAAUUAAGCCUUUUCUGACAGGGCAUGAUCCAAAGCCCACAGAAAUUAGUAGAAAGACUCUAAUUGACAUCAAUGAGGUUUGGAUCAGACCUUUUCAGAAUACUUGGAAAGUGACACCAGGACCUAGUCAAUGUGAAG
This is a non-coding RNA of Pelodiscus sinensis (Chinese soft-shelled turtle), 464 nucleotides long. NCBI's taxonomy places the organism in Eukaryota, Metazoa, Chordata, Testudines, Trionychidae. The record is from RefSeq and is a predicted model, not a curated record.